CCCAAAUGUCCCAGACAGAACAGUGGAAAUCAACCCAAAUGUCCCAGACAGAAGAGUGGAAAUCAACCCAAAUGUCCCAGACAGAACAGUGGAAAUCAACCCAAAUGUCCCAGACAGAACAGUGGAAAUCAACCCAAAUGUCCCAGACAGAAGAGUGGAAAUCAACCCAAAUGUCCCAGACAGAACAGUGGAAAUCAACCCAAAUGUCCCAGACAGAACAGUGGAAAUCAACCCAAAUGUCCCAGACAGAAAAGUGGAAAUCGUGUAUAUUACGAUUAAAUAUGAUGAAUAUUGUUUUAAUCUCUAAAAUGAUUAUGCACUUUAUUCAUUUUAAAUAUUCCCAGUACACAGUCAAUUCAGAAAGUUAAUUUAAAUGUCAUUUCAACUUAAAGGAUGAUAGAGAGAGAUAGAAAAAUAGAGGGAGGGGUCUGACUGGAUGGGUCCUUAAAAAGGAGAGGAGAGAGAGGAAGAACUCAACUCACAGGCAGGACAGAGAGAGAGAGAGAGACUAGAACUCAACUCACAGGCAGGACAGAGAGAGAGAGACACUAGAAGUCAACUCACAGGCUGGACAGACAGAGAGAGAGAGAGAGAAACAGAGAGAGAGAGAGACUAGAAGUCAACUCACAGGCAGGACAGACAGAGAGAGAGAGAGACUAGAAGUCAACUCACAGGCUGGACAGAGAGAGAGAGACUAGAAGUCAACUCACAGGCAGGACAGACAGAGAGAGAGAAAGACUAGAAGUCAACUCACAGGCAGGACAGAGAGAGAGAGAGAGACUAGAAGUCAACUUACAGGCAGGACAGAGAGAGAGAAAAUAGUGAAAAACCUUUGAAGAUCUCUGAAGAAGUGAAGC
Long non-coding RNA from Oncorhynchus tshawytscha (Chinook salmon), 857 nucleotides. The record is from Ensembl. NCBI's taxonomy places the organism in Eukaryota, Metazoa, Chordata, Actinopteri, Salmoniformes, Salmonidae.